Non-coding RNA from Megalopta genalis, 590 nucleotides. The record is from RefSeq and is a predicted model, not a curated record. NCBI's taxonomy places the organism in Eukaryota, Metazoa, Arthropoda, Insecta, Hymenoptera, Halictidae.
GAUGGCUAAUGGUUACAUAAUGUCAAAUUUACCGGGAUUAUUUAAAUUCGUGUUCGUAUAUGUUUACUUGUCUUUGCAAUCAUUUAUGAGAUGAUGUUCAUAUUUUCACUGACUGAAUACAUAGUUAUGUGCAAUUGUGCAGACGUAUGCAAAGAACUGUUAUGUUCUUAACCUAUCAAAGACAUUUACGAAAAGUCUCUGUAAUUGGGAACGAAAACGAACGUGAUCGAAUCAUACUGAUUCAAAACUAGCAGUUCUAAUCAUCACCAUCGCUAGGCGAGUAACAAAACUUAUGAUAUAGAUGCAUAAGAGUCUAUUGAACAUUUCCUUGAUGAUGAUGUUUCAAAUGCAGUAGAAUUCCAAUUUAUCCAGCAUAUUGUACAAGAACUUAAUUCUUUGAAACAUUAAAAUGUAUCUGUAUUGUAUUCUUCAUAUUAAGUUAACGUAUAUAAAGAUGAUGUAACCAAAGUAAUUAUAUCGGGGACACAGUAAACUGACGAAAGGUAUUUUAUUCUCUAACUAAUAAGUGUAAAGAAAUCUAAAUGCAUUAAGUGUAAUGUCAAUGUAAAUAAAUAGCUUUUCUCUAAACA